AUUCGUGCCAUGAUUUUUCAAACUCAGAUCUAUUGAGUUGGGGGAUGAAUCUGAUAUUGGUGUUAUAGGAGAUGUUUGGGUGGUUGUUGGUGAUGAUUUUCCACCACUUAGAGUGCUGCAAUCCGGUGGUUUUGGUGGUGGAUCAAGUUUGUUGGAGUUUUGGAGGUUUUCUCCCAUUCUAGAGAGAAGGGAGAGCGUUUUGGAGGUAGAGAGAGAAAAAGGUUUUUUGGUUUGGUUUAGGGUUUAGGGUUU
This 252-nucleotide long non-coding RNA is filed under the name Olea europaea subsp. europaea. Lineage: Eukaryota; Viridiplantae; Streptophyta; Magnoliopsida; Lamiales; Oleaceae. The record is from RNAcentral.